UCUCAUCUCCCCCGAUCACACAGGUAAGAGCAUGAUUCUCAUCUCCCCUGAUCACACAGGUAAGAGCAUGAUUCUCAUCUCCCCCGAUCACACAGGUAAGAGCAUGAUUCUCAUCUCCCUUGAUCGCACAGGUAAGAGCAUGAUUCUCAUCUCCCCUGAUCGCACAGGUAAGAGCAUGAUUCUCAUCUCCCCUGAUUGCACAGGUAAGAGCAUGAUCUGUAUACAUGACAAUGCUUGUAAGAGAAACCCUGUAAAAGUUGAGUAUUUAUUUCAAUGUAUUGCUGAAAUGCAGACACCACACGACACUGCAAAAGUAAAAUAAUGAGUUUUGAGUUUCUUAUAAACACUGUAGGGAGUUCUGUAACACAAAUGUAUAAAAAAAAUAAAGACUGAAGUAUAAUAUUUGACUAAGUGCAAUAAUAAUAAUAAACACUCAGCAAACAUCAGAAAAAGGUAAGGGGACAGUAAAAUAAAAACCUAGUCAUUUGAAGGAAGAACGAAUGUGAGUCAAAUAAGUGAGUUAAAAUAGAAUAGGUCGACUAAAUAAACUUAAUAAUAAAUAUUAAUAAAACAUGUGUUUGAUAAUGUCUGCUACUCUUUGUGAACAUAUUGUUUUGUAAGACUUUGCUGUUUAAAACUGUCCAUCUGAAACCGCCCACGCUUCACAAUCACUUCACAAUCACGUGACAUGUGAUCAGUGGACUGCCAGUUUCUGACUGUCACGUUACUGUACCUUAGUAGUUGACUAUUCGGUGCUACCCCUAACUUGAACUGCAUCCAAAGCAGAAUGCCAUCUCUACACCCUUAUGCUAAUAGUUUCUUCUAUUCUCCUUUUAAAAGAAGUGUGUCGAGCGAAUCUCACCAUGGUGAUAGACAGGAUCCGGCAGGAACAGCAUUGCAAGAAAAUAUGCGUUCAGUGCCAAGAUGUGCUGGAAACGCAGCCAUCGGGAUCCUGUGGCACUUACACUGGUAAUAAAAGACACAUCAUGAAAGAGAUCUUCGGUAAUAUGAAGAAUCUCACACGAUACCGAAUCACAGUUCAUUGUUUAAAGAAGCUUAAAACUCGAACAUAUGAAGUGUAUUUAACAGAAGGAACUCCCAAGAGUGGCCCGAGGAACAUUUCCGUGCAGGCAACUCAUAAUUCAGUCCUGGUCACAUGG
This is a long non-coding RNA of Acipenser ruthenus (sterlet), 1160 nucleotides long. RefSeq lists it as uncharacterized. The record is from RefSeq and is a predicted model, not a curated record. The transcript has 3 exons. NCBI's taxonomy places the organism in Eukaryota, Metazoa, Chordata, Actinopteri, Acipenseriformes, Acipenseridae.